GGAGCGGUAGUUCAGUCGGUUAGAAUACCUGCCUGUCACGCAGGGGGUCGCGUUCCGCCA
Molecule: transfer RNA, 60 nt
Filed under: Klebsiella pneumoniae
Lineage: Bacteria; Pseudomonadati; Pseudomonadota; Gammaproteobacteria; Enterobacterales; Enterobacteriaceae
Description: tRNA-Asp
Source: RNAcentral